RNAcentral lists this ribosomal RNA (246 nucleotides) under uncultured methanogenic archaeon. RNAcentral describes it as "partial 16S ribosomal RNA". It matches the Rfam family "Archaeal small subunit ribosomal RNA", at positions 319 to 570 of the family's 1478-position model. Lineage: Archaea; Methanobacteriati; Methanobacteriota. The record is from RNAcentral.
UCCCUACGGGGCGCAGCAGGCGCGAAAACUUUACAAUGCGGGAAACCGUGAUAAGGGAACCCCGAGUGCCUGUAUAUGCAGGCUGUCCAGGUGUCUAAAAAACACCUGAAGAAAGGGCCGGGCAAGACCGGUGCCAGCCGCCGCGGUAAUACCGGCGGCUCGAGUGGUGGCCACUUUUAUUGGGCUUAAAGCGUUCGUAGCUGGGUUGUUAAGUCUCUUGGGAAAUCUGACGGCUCAACCGUCAGG